Molecule: ribosomal RNA, 465 nt
Filed under: uncultured bacterium
Lineage: Bacteria
Description: partial 16S ribosomal RNA
Rfam family: Bacterial small subunit ribosomal RNA
Source: RNAcentral
CCUACGGGAGGCAGCAGUAGGGAAUCUUCCACAAUGGGCGAAAGCCUGAUGGAGCAACGCCGCGUGGGUGAAGAAGGUCUUCUGAUCGUAAAACCCUGUUGUUAGAGAAGAAAGUGCGUGAGAGUAACUGUUCACGUUUAGACGGUCUCUAUCCAGAAAGCCACGGCUAACUACGUACCAGCAGCCGCGGUAAUACGUAGGUGGCAAGCGUUAUCCGGAUGUAUUGGGCGUAAAGGGAAUGCAGGCGGUAUUUUAGGUCUCAUGUGAAAGCCUUCGGCUUAACCGGAGUAGUGCAUUGGAGACUGGGAGACUGGAGUGCAGAAGAGGAGAGUAGAACUCAAUGUGUAGCGGUGAAAUGCGUAGAUAUAUGGAAGAACACCAGUGGCGAAAGCGGCUCUCUGGUCUGUAACUGACGCUGAGGUUCGAAAGCGUGGGUAGCAAACAGGAUUAGAUACCCCAGUAGUC